Molecule: ribosomal RNA, 368 nt
Filed under: uncultured bacterium
Lineage: Bacteria
Description: partial 16S ribosomal RNA
Rfam family: Bacterial small subunit ribosomal RNA
Source: RNAcentral
CCUACGGGGGGCUGCAGUGGGGAAUAUUGCACAAUGGGGGAAACCCUGAUGCAGCAACGCCGCGUGAGUGAUGACGGCCCUCGGGUUGUAAAGCCCUGUCUUCAGGGACGAUAAUGACGGUACCUGAGGAGGAAGCCACGGCUAACUACGUGCCAGCAGCCGCGGUAAUACGUAGGUGGCGAGCGUUGUCCGGAUUUACUGGGGGUAAAGGGGGCGUAGGCGGACAUUGAAGUGAGGAGUGAAAUACUCGGGCUCAACCUUAGUGCUGCAUUUGAAACUGGUUGUCUAGAGUGCAGGAGAGGAAGGUGGAAUUCCUGGUGUAGCGGUGAAAUGCGUAGAGAUGAGGAAGAACACCGGUGGCGAAGGCG